GCCAGUGUGGUGUAGUGGUUUGAAUGUUGAACUAUGACUCUGAAGACCAGGGUUUGAUUCCCAGCUCUGCCA
RNAcentral lists this transfer RNA (72 nucleotides) under Phrynosoma platyrhinos (Desert horned lizard). Its description in RNAcentral is "tRNA-OTHER". Lineage: Eukaryota; Metazoa; Chordata; Lepidosauria; Squamata; Phrynosomatidae. The record is from RNAcentral.